CCUACGGGUGGCUGCAGUGGGGAAUAUUGGACAAUGGGGGCAACCCUGAUCCAGCCAUGCCGCGUGAGUGAUGAAGGCCCUAGGGUUGUAAAGCUCUUUUAUGCGGGAAGAUAAUGACGGUACCGCAAGAAUAAGCCCCGGCUAACUUCGUGCCAGCAGCCGCGGUAAUACGAAGGGGGCUAGCGUUACUCGGAAUCACUGGGCGUAAAGGGUGCGUAGGCGGGUCUUUACGUCAGAGGUGAAAUCCUGGAGCUCAACUCAAGAACUGCCGUUGAUACGUAGGAUCUUGAGUCCGGAAGAGGUGAGUGGAACUGCGAGUGUAGAGGUGAAAUUCGUAGAUAUUCGCAAGAACACCAGUGGCGAAGGCGGCUCACUGGUCCGGUACUGACGCUGAGGCACGAAAGCGUGGGGAGCAAACAGGAUUAGAUACCCCAGUAGUC
Molecule: ribosomal RNA, 440 nt
Filed under: uncultured bacterium
Lineage: Bacteria
Description: partial 16S ribosomal RNA
Rfam family: Bacterial small subunit ribosomal RNA
Source: RNAcentral